GACGUAGGAGGCGAGCGUUGUCCGGAUUCAUUGGGCGUAAAGAGCACGCAGGCGGUUUGGCAAGUCGGAUGUGAAAACCCGAAGCUCAACUUCGGGCCUGCAUCCGAAACUGCCCGACUAGAGGUAGGUAGGGGAGAUCGGAAUUCCGUGGUGUAGCGGUGAAAUGCGCAGAUAUCAAGAGGAACACCAGUGGCGAAGGCGAGUCCCUGGACGAUACCUGACCACUGAGGCACGAAAGCUAGGGGAGCAAACAGG
Molecule: ribosomal RNA, 255 nt
Filed under: uncultured bacterium
Lineage: Bacteria
Description: partial 16S ribosomal RNA
Rfam family: Bacterial small subunit ribosomal RNA
Source: RNAcentral